RNAcentral lists this ribosomal RNA (443 nucleotides) under uncultured bacterium. RNAcentral's name for it is "partial 16S ribosomal RNA". It matches the Rfam family "Bacterial small subunit ribosomal RNA", at positions 338 to 795 of the family's 1533-position model. The record is from RNAcentral.
CCUACGGGGGGCAGCAGUGGGGAAUAUUGGGCAAUGGAGGCAACUCUGACCCAGCAACGCCGCGUGAAUGAUGAAGGUCUUCGGAUUGUAAAGUUCUUUUCUAAGGGAAGAAGAAAGUGACGGUACCUUAGGAAUAAGCCUCGGCUAACUACGUGCCAGCAGCCGCGGUAAUACGUAGGAGGCAAGCGUUAUCCGGAAUGACUGGGCGUAAAGGGUGCGUAGGGGGUUUGACAAGUUAGUAGCGCAACUCCGGGGCUCAACUUCGGAACUACUACUAAAACUGUUGGACUUGAGUGCAGGAGGGGCAAUCGGAAUUCCUAGUGUAGCGGUGGAAUGCGUAGAUAUUAGGAGGAACACCAGUGGCGAAGGCGGUCUGCUGGACAGCAACUGACGCUGAGGCGCGAAAGCGUGGGGAGCAAACAGGAUUAGAUACCCGGGUAGUC